CGGUAAUUCCAGCUCCAAUAGCGUAUACUAAAGUUGUUGCAGUUAAAAAGCUCGUAGUUGGAUUUCUGCGGGGACGGAGCGGCCGGACGCAACUUGCGUCUCGAGCUAGCGCUUUCCCCGCAUCCUGCCGCGAACCGUGCUACCAUUAGCUUGGUGGCGCUGGGGAUCGGCUCGAUUACUUUGAGAAAAAUAGAGUGUUCAAAGCAGGCCACACGCCUUGAAUAAGUUAGCAUGGAAUAAUGACUAAGGACUUCGGUUCUAUUUUGUUGGUGUUCGGGACUGAAGUAAUGAUUGAUAGGGACAGUUGGGGCGGUCUGUAUUCCAAAGCGAGAGGUGAAAUUCUUAGACCUUCGGAAGACAAACAGCUGCGAAAGCGUUCCGCAAGGAUGUUCCCUUUGAUCGAGAACGAAAGUUGGGGGAUCGAAGACGAUCAGAUACCGUCGUAGUCUCAACUAUAAACUAUACCAGCUAGGGAUCGGUCAACGUUUAAUCAUUCGACUUGAUCGGCACCUUAUGAGAAAUCAAAGCAUCUGGGUUCCGGGGGGAGUAUGGUCGCAAGGCUGAAACUUAAAGGAAUUGACGGAAGGGCACCACCAGCCGUGGAGCCUGUGGCUUAAUUUGACUCAACACGGGAAAACUUACCAGGUCCAGACAUAGUAAGGAUUGACAGAUUGAUAGCUCUUUCUUGAUUCUGUGGGUGGUGGUGCAUGGCCGUUCUUAGUUGGUGGAGUGAUUUGUCUGGUUAAUUCCGUUAACGAACGAGACCCCAGCCUGCUAAAUAGCGCGGCUGAGCUUUGCUCGGUGCGAGCUUCUUAGAGGGACUAUGAUGCGCGAUAGCACAUGGAAGUUUGGGGCAAUAACAGGUCUGUGAUGCCCUUAGAUGUUCUGGGCCGCACACGGGCUACACUGGCGCCUGCAACGAGCAUAUCAGCUGGCCCGAGAGGGUCUUGGCUAAUCUUUUGAACCGGCGCCGUGCUUGGGAUUGACCAUUGCAAUUGUUGGUCAUGCAACGAGGAAUGCCUUGUAAACGCGAGUCAUCAGCUCGCAUUGAAUACGUCCCUGCCCUUUGUACACACCGCCCGUCGCUCCUACCGAUGAAUGUUCCGAUGAAAUUUUCGGAGAGCGCCAGAGAACGGGGCUCUGCCUUGCAGAUCUGGAGGCUCAAAGUCACUUAAAUCUGAACAUUUCGAGGAAGGAGAAGUCGUAACAAGGUAGCCG
RNAcentral lists this ribosomal RNA (1218 nucleotides) under uncultured Rhizaria. RNAcentral describes it as "SSU rRNA". It matches the Rfam family "Eukaryotic small subunit ribosomal RNA", at positions 577 to 1805 of the family's 1831-position model. The record is from RNAcentral.